This 658-nucleotide long non-coding RNA is filed under the name Mytilus galloprovincialis (Mediterranean mussel). The record is from RNAcentral. Lineage: Eukaryota; Metazoa; Mollusca; Bivalvia; Mytilida; Mytilidae.
GUCAUUUCAUCCAUCUUGGUUCUUACGUUUUACAUAAUACAUGCUCCUGAUUUGAGUAUGACUUCUGACACUUUGAAGUUUUCUUAUACCAUUGAGCAUGGGAGUUUUCUAGGCUUGUAUAGAAUGGAAUGGAAUAACUUGUUCACUUAGAUUUAUAAUGAGUGUACUGUAUAAACAAUUUUCAUACCUGCUAGGCAACUAUUUCUUGUUUGGUGAGUAAUUAACCUCGAAACGCACCAAUUCAAAUGCUCUAUUUAAAAAAACACCGAACACAACAUAUAAAACCAACUCUUAGACAGGAGUGUCUAAGAGUGAUUGAUCUGAGUUCUCUAAAUCACCUUUAGAAAGAAAGUCUUAAUUUUUAAUUGAGCAGUCUUAAAUUACAACCCAACUUAAUGCAUUCACCUGGCCUGUCCCUUUUGUUUCAAUCCAAAUUUUGUUGGGUACUAUUGAGCAGGACAACUUUAUAUUGGGUCAUUGAGUUUAAAUGCGAGCACUAACCUGUUCUGCUGUUUACCUACUUUCUGUUGGCAGUAAUUUCUGAAAUGAAUUUAGAAGGUUAUAGAAUUUUGUCAUCUCUGAUUCUACUGAGCAAAAUGACAAUAUUUCCAAUAUCUUGACAGUAAUGUGUCGCCACAUUAGAUCUGUUGGACACCAC